CACAAGUCAUUGUCCCAGCCGAUGCUGCUGUGUGAAGCUGUUCUUCCUCCCUGCCUGCCCCAUUCAACAGGAAGCCCUGGUUGUAGGAGGGAAGAGUCCAUGUCUUUCUCUGGGACUUGUCUGUUUCCCUGGAAGGCUGGAAAGGAGCAAGAGAGGCUCAUGUUGAUGCUGCUUAAUUCUCGCUCCGUGAUGAAAGGCUCACUCAGAGACCUGAUUGAGGAGUCAUCGUCUUUCACAUGUCUGCUGUCUGGUUGGUCUUCUCCCACCCUGACAAUUGCUUCCUUUCCAUUUUUCAUGAAGAGAGAGCUGGUGGGUCAAGCUAAUUGCUACUGAACUAUUGCUUUCUGCACCUGGUGCUCCAUCAGCCUGUGGUCAUCUUUGGAAUUGGAUGCCCUUGAGUCAGGCGCCCAUCCAUGUCCAACUGGGAUCUCAACUGCAGUCAGGCUGGGGUUCAGCUGCAGGCUCCAGCACACAGCCAGCAUUCCUGCUUCGGUCCUUCCACGGCACAGGGGAACGUGCAUAUGACUGAGUCUUCCUAGCUGCCGAGGAGGAGACGUGAGAAGCAAUGGAGGGGAAACUGAACAUGAGACAUUCGCCUUUCUGACCCCCACUCAUUUCAGCUGCCUGUCACAUCGCCGCAGGAUAGCAACUCUCCUGCGCAGCAGGCAUUCAGGAGCCAGGCCACACACCAGGAUCUGUCCUUCUAUCUAGCACCCUGUGCCUACUCUGAGGUUAGCAACAAGUGGCAACCUCUUCCUUCCUACAGACAAGAAGGUGACUGGCGCUUCCCAGCCCAUUAUUCCAGCCCACGCAGAGUGAGGUUAAUGGAACUGAGAUGAAGCUGGCUGGCGGGAGAGGGAGAGCCCUGAGGGGACCACACAGCUCAUCUUCCAUCCCUCAGCCUGCUCUUCCCCCACCCCAAGCUCUGGGCAUCUCUGUCCAAAGACAGAGAUGGGAAGGGCAGAGGGAUAAAGGGGUCUUACACUCUUACCAACAGAUUCUGCAGGGAGGGGUGCUGUCAGCUUGGUUAUCAUUAGGAAAGAUCAGUUUGUAAUGCCCUUAGACAGUUCUGUGAUUGGCUUGUGGGUACAGACGGAGGUAGACUGCUCAUCUCCACAAUGAAUCUGCUUCUUGGUAGGAGUGGUCCUAAAAGGGCAAGAGAGAAGGAGAGCGCCCACACGGAAUGAAUGGAUCUGGCAGCCUGGAUUCCAGGAAAGAUCUUUGAUGCCUGAGUAGAAAGUGCUUGAAGAGCUACAGACAGGGCUGAGGUCAGAGGUCAGAGGUCAGAGGUAAUCUGUAGUGGAAACAGGAGGUGAGAAAGCCUUCAUCUUCUAGAUGAACUGAGACCGGAACCGCAGAUUUCACAGAUGAAACUGGGCACGCUUCGUAACUCGAGCCCUGGGUAGAGCAUCACACUUGUUGAUCUGAAGGCCAUCCGGCUGCUCAGAUGACUUUCCUGCUGAUGAGGAAAGAAACACCCUCCCGGCUUCACCCCAUGACUUGUUGGGCAAUGGUGCAACACUGAGGUUCAUUGCAGUCUAAGAGACUCUUCCAUGAUCCCGCUCUUUUACCAGUCACAUCCUCCUACAUGGAAUAUACACAAUAUGCACACACACACACACACACAGAGAGAG
Molecule: long non-coding RNA, 1634 nt
Filed under: Mus musculus (house mouse)
Lineage: Eukaryota; Metazoa; Chordata; Mammalia; Rodentia; Muridae
Description: predicted gene, 36799
Source: RNAcentral